CCUACGGGGGGCAGCAGUGGGGAAUAUUGCACAAUGGGCGCAAGCCUGAUGCAGCCAUGCCGCGUGUGUGAAGAAGGCCUUCGGGUUGUAAAGCACUUUCAGCGAGGAGGAAGGGUUCAGUGUUAAUAGCACUGUUAAUUGACGUUACUCGCAGAAGAAGCACCGGCUAACUCCGUGCCAGCAGCCGCGGUAAUACGGAGGGUGCAAGCGUUAAUCGGAAUUACUGGGCGUAAAGCGCACGCAGGCGGUUUGUUAAGUCAGAUGUGAAAUCCCCGCGCUUAACGUGGGAACUGCAUUUGAAACUGGCAAGCUAGAGUCUUGUAGAGGGGGGUAGAAUUCCAGGUGUAGCGGUGAAAUGCGUAGAGAUCUGGAGGAAUACCGGUGGCGAAGGCGGCCCCCUGGACAAAGACUGACGCUAAGGUGCGAAAGCGUGGGGAGCA
RNAcentral lists this ribosomal RNA (440 nucleotides) under uncultured bacterium. RNAcentral describes it as "bacterial SSU rRNA". It matches the Rfam family "Bacterial small subunit ribosomal RNA", at positions 338 to 770 of the family's 1533-position model. The record is from RNAcentral.